GAGAAACUUAAAUUAUACGUGCAGGAGGCACUCCGCAAGGACGUGGCUUAUCACCGUCGUUCAGGGCUGCCAUCAUCCUGGUCGGCAUUUUACAAGUACAUGGCUGAGAGCAAUCAGUCGGCAUUUUACAAGUACCUGGCUGAGAGCAAUCGUUCAGGAAUGUCGACAUCCUCGGCAGCGGAAAACUAAAGGAGUUGAGUGAGCUCUGCUCGAUUGGUUUUUGUAGUUUCUUUUUUUUUUUUCCUCAAGUGAUCUGGCAUGUAUCAAUUAGUUUGUAAAGUUAUUGUAUUGUCUCAAGUCCGGUAAGAUGCGCGAACGUAUAGCAUGGAUCACAAACUCAUUUCAUAGAUUAUUUUUUUGUAUAAUUAUAUAAUUUAUAGGCUUUGCUUAAAAAAUUAAAAAAGAAAAAAAGAAUUGUAUUACAAUUGGUAUGAGGCAUGCUUGUGUGUGUCAUAUCAGUUGCUGAACAAACUUUGCCUUUUAGUUUUGUAGGCACUACCAUCUCAAAUUCUUUGUUAUCAUGAAUGAGUAUUUUUUUUCUUUUUUUUCUUUUUUAACAAAUCAUAAAUGAGAUUAAGAUAAUCUUUUUUUAAAAAAGAAAAAAAAUGGAGAUUUCUUUUAUUUUUCCUUAAAAAACUGAAGACAAAUUUAGAAGGAAGUGAGAGACGGAGAAUUAAAGCAAUUUUAUUCACAAAUGUAAUGUAUUUGGUGCAGCAAUACAAACUAAUAAAUUAUAAUUUAUGAGACUAGUUUACAGAAUCUUAUAUAUAAAAUUAUAUCCUCUGAAUAAAAAUCUUCUCACCUCUUUUGACUUCUCAUCUAAUUUACAGAAUCUUAUAUAUAUAACACAUUUUUAUAAAACAAAACAGAAAAAAAAAUUAUAUAUAAUUGUCACAAGGACUAUUUCAUUUGCACAUAGUACGCAAUUGGUCACUAAAGUUAUUUGAGGAGAAAAUUUACAUGAGAUGGGUACAUCAUAUUAUCAGUAUUUUAGUUUAAAUUUGAACAUACUAGAAUGGUCUCUCAUAAAUUUUUCUCCAAUUUGAGAGAUGGUGGGGGAGUGGGGUUAAAGUGCAUCUACAUAGAAUAGAAUUAAUUAUAAUUAAAUUUACUUUUUAAAACUAUUUUAACUAGAAGUAGUAGUAAUUCUUUUUAUUAUUGUUAUUCCAAUUAUAUCAAAAUCUCGUGACUCGUGAUCAAAUUAAGUGCUUCAUUAAAUUGUUUUAGGUGACGUACGGUAUGGAGUUGUUAUAAAUCUAUAUAGAUAGUAAAAUAUUUAAUUUUGCUUGUCGUAAACUUUUAAUUUGCAUGGGUUAAAAAAGAAAAAAAGAAAAAAGAAAUUGACUUAUUAAUUAAUUAACAAUUAUAGAAAGACUAAAUAGAAAAUUAUUGAAGUUGCGUGAGAAAGCUCUCGGGAAAAGGGGCUCCAGAUUUCCUUUCCCUGGCUUCGUGCGUUUCCUGUUUGCCCUUUCGAGCACGACAUUCGAAUCCAAUACUUAAUAAUAAAGAUAUAAUAUUAUUAUAAUACUAAUAAUUAACAUUAAAAUAUUAAAAAUAGGGAAAAAAAAAUCCAAAUUUUUACUGGUAUGUAACGCAGGGCCAAAACGAUAGCGAAACAUCAAAUUGUUUUUAUUUCAACCUUCGCGCAACUUCCGGUGACAUAAUUUUUCUCUGUUUCAGGUACAUACAUACCCAAAACUAGACUUUGCAUGUAUCAUUCUUGUAUUUUUGUAAUUCAUUCACAUAUUCUUCUUUUCUUUUCUUUUUCUUUUCUUUUUUGCUGUAUUUUUUUUAUGAAACACUCUGUUUCAGUUCUGUUUCUGGUUUUGUUUCAGUUUGAUAUUAUUGGUUCCGUUCGGUUCUACUCUGUUCUCUGUUGUAUGUAUAUAUGUAUGUAUUUUUGGCCUUGAAUUGCUUUGAUCACCGGUUUUGUUAUUCUUUUAUCGUGAAUUUUAGACACCCGUUAAACUUGUUUGGCCAUGUAUUCACUUGAUUGUUACAUUCAGCUGCCAUCUUCAUGGUGGGUUUGUAAGAUAGUCUCUGACUAACAUAUGGCAUUGAUUAUGAAUGAUGGUUUUGUGAGAUACAUCAUACAGACGUUAACUUGUAUUAACAUGUACUUCCUUUAUUUAAAAGAUUAUUGUUUUUCUGGCUUUUUUUUUUUUGUUUGAAAUGCCCCUUUUUGCAUUUUAUAGGUGAAAGGAAAAAAACAUAAUAUCGCAGCACUAGAACAAAGGAGCCUAUUCUGGUACCUAUUGUCCAAGGAAGCUUCUGUAUAUUCGGUAGGCACUACCAUGGAAGUGAAAUCUUACCAGAGCCAGGUGGAGUCAUUGCUGAAGGAAUAUAUAUUAGCAGAUCCAUUUAUCCCGUACACUUCAAUUGUUGGUAGCAUUUUUGCUUGCAAGAUGGUAUGUUUUUCAUCGUUACUGCAUGGUGGUAUUUACUAGAAAAUAUUUUGAAUGCAUAGUUUUUAUUUAAUUAGUUAUAAAUUUUUAUACCCUUUUUUUCAUAAGAAUGCGUUCCUUUUCAGGUGUAUGAUCUUGCCCAAUUGAUUAGUGCUGUUCACUUUAAAAGUUAUUCCAGUUUCUCUAACGUACAGCGGGUUGAGUGGAGUAACAGGUGAUUGAAUAUUUUCAUUUAGUUCAAUUGACAUUUCUUUUUCAAUCGGUAAAGUUUAAUCAUUUCUCUUAAAUUGACAACUUAAGCAGGGCCAUAGCAACCGUCCAUGCCAUUUUUAUUACAGCUAUGUCUUUGUACUUCGUGUUUUGGUCGGAUCUCUUUUCGGACAACCAACUUGCUAGCCUUAUUACAUUCCGUAGCUCUUUUCUGUCUACAUUCACAUUGGGGGUGAGUUCACCAUUUCCUGUUAGUUUUUAGUUAAAUUACAAAUUUUACCAGGUUUUAAGUUCUGGCAUUCCCAUCUGUUAUCUUGCCCUGAGAAUAUAUAUAGGAUAUUGUCUUAUUGAAGCCUGAAUCUUCCCAGUAGUGGAAAGUAUAAAUAACAAUUUGAAAUUAUUUUAGCCAUCAAUGUAACAGCUGGCAAAUUUCUUCUAGCUUGUUUCUUAAAUCUAAGGUUAAUUUUCCCGUGGUGACAGACAAACCAGUCAUGGUUUAUCUAGAUAUUUUAAUACAUGAUUUCAGUAUCAGGUAAAGAAGGAAUCCGUAUCUAUUUCUUUCCAGUUGGUGUUGAUAAAAAGGAAAAGUCAUAGUACUCUCCUUUUCAUUCCUUGUGAUUCCAUUUUACUUAGUAAUAUGAUUAGAAAUGAGUGGAAAUAGGUUGUGGAGGGCUGCAUUAUUAUGGCUUCUUUCAAUAGAACACUAAAUAUUCCCUAUUCAAGGGAAACUUUUUGCAAGGGAAAUUUUCUAAAGGAUAAUAAACUUUUUUUCUUUUCAAAAGAGAAAGGGUAAUUAUUAGUACAUUGAUAUCUCAACAAAAUGGUAGAACCUUUCUUUAUACCACUAAGACAUUUGUCGCAGGUAUGCCUACAUAAUCAGUGUCCUUCAAAACUUUCAAGGAGUUAGCAAUGCCGAACCCCUGAAACACUAAGGUGGCGUUUGUUUUUUAACUUAAUGACUUAAAGUGAAUUAACUUAAUUAAUUAAGUUAAUUAGAGGUGUUUGUUUUUAUAACUUAAUGAGACUUUUUAGAUGAUUUUGACUUAAGAAAAUAAGCCAAUUUUUUUAGCUUUUUACUUAAUGGAGAAAUCUGAAUUAAGUCAAUUACUUGCUAAUGUCAAAACUAUCCAUGUUUUAUAAUUUAUUUUUCAUGUCUAUCCCAAAAUUCACCCAUAGACAUUUAUCCCACAUAAAAAUAUCCAUAUUUUUUAUUUCUUAUAUUAUAUACGAUAAAAUUUAAAAUUUAUGGUAUUUUAUAUAUUAAAAUUUCAAAAUAAUUAUGUAUUCACUUGAAUAUAGUUUUACUUAUAAAUGUUAAAAUAUUGUGGUAUUUAAUAUAUUAUUUAUUUGGCAUUCAAAUUUAAUAAGGAUACAAAUGUAAAAGUACAUAUUUUCAACUUUUUAAGUUGAAAAAAACAAACAACUUAAUACUUAUUUUCCGAGAUUCAGACGAAAAAAACAAACAUAUUAUUCAGAUUCAGACAUUCAGAUCUAUUAAAAAUUCAGUCUAAUUUAAGUCUAUUUAGAUUUUAGAUAAAAAAACAAACGCCACCUAAAUCUCAUAGGAUCAACUCUUUACCUCUAGACCGAAGGUGUGACACCCAGACCCAAUUAGGGCUUAGAAAACAUAUCGAAUCUGAGUGAAACUAAAUGCCUGUAAAUCCAAAUCUCCAAAAUAUCAAAAAGUCAUCUAAUUUCUCUUUUCAUGUAUUUCACAAAAUUUUGAAAAAUUCAUUCUCAAUCAUAAACUAUGCACAACUAAUUAUUCAGCAUAUCAGCAUAGAGCAAUACUUCCUCAUAAGCAAAUAAAUCUUACAAUCCUUCUUCCAUGAUUUAAAAAAAAUACUAAUAGAAGUCUUCUAGAUACAAACAUAAACAUAAUUCAACUGUUUAAAACUAUGCCAAAACACAAGCUUCAAUCAGUAAUACAUACGACUAAUUAUUAAAAACAUCUAGGCAGAAACCUUACGAAAGCUCAAUCCUUCCGAAGCAUUCUUCAAAUUAAUAAUUGCAACCAUCUGUGAAAAAUAAUUGACAAGGAGUCAGCUGUGAAUUCAAUCAGUAGAAACAUUCGUAACGAACAAAAAGAAUUCUUUGUGCAAUAUUUUCAGAAAAUUCAUUUAACCUUUCAAAUGAAACAGAGUAAUUUUUCUAACGCAUCAGGAUUUAUAUAAAACACAAACGUUUCAGACAGAAGCUGUGUGGAAUGUAAAUUUUGCUUCUUUAAACAGAAAGUUAUAUAUUAGUUUGAUUUUAAAGGGAGGUUAUUGGGAAGUUAAAAUUGGCAGUUGUGGGAAAAGGGUAAUAGCAGUUAUAAAAUCUGUUUUAAAGCAAAUUCAAAUCAAGUUUCAAAUUUUAGGAGUACUUAAUUCAAUAAAAUAAGGAAUAAAUAAAGCUUUCAUUGAAACAAAACUAAGUAAAUUCAUUUAAAGCAAAACAGGAUGCGAGCAUUACAUAAGGGUUCUUGGCCAUACCAUGGUUACCCGCAGUCAGACAUCUGGGACCUUGUUAUUUGGAGACAAGACUUGAUUGUGCCAUGUUUUCCGCAGCUAGACACCUAUGGAUAAGAGAAGCCUAAGCCUAUUGAGAAUAAAUUCUGUAAUCCAAGACUCUUCAGUUCUUUCAUUUGUGGCUAAUUAGUUAUAAAAUUUGUGAAUUACAUGCCCCAUGCCCCUUGCAAAAUGUUGUUUAUAUCCUUAAGAUGCCCGUGGAUGAACUGAAAUAAUAAAAUAUAGAAGACAGACUUAAUGCCGAUAGCAUUUCUUAAGAAAAACUUGGGAUGUUUAUAAUUUUCUUAGAGCAUUUGCUGAACUUUCUGUGAUUGCAGUCGAGACGGGUGACCGCUACUUCCCUCAUUGCUCACAAGUGGUUAAUGACUUUUUGGAUGCUUCCCUCCUAGAAAAGAGUACUCUUGAAGAGCAGAAACUUAAAGUAGACAUGCAAGAGGCACUCCCCAAGGACGUGGCUUAUCACCGUCGUUCAGGGCUGCCAUCAUCCUGGUCGGCAUUUUACAAGUACAUGGCUGAGAGCAAUCAGUCGGCAUUUUACAAGUACCUGGCUGAGAGCAAUCGUUCAGGAAGAUAUUUGACAUUUGGAAAACUAAAGGAGUUGAGUGAGCUCGAUUGGUAUUUGUAGUUUCUUUUUUUUUUUUUUGCCUCAAGUGAUCUGGCAUGUAUCAAUUAGUUUGUAAAGUUAUUGUAUUGUCUCAAGUCCGGUGAGAUGCGCGAACGUAUAGCAUGGAUCACAAACUCAUUUCAUAGAAUAUUUUUGUGUAUAAUUAUAUAAUUUAUAGGCUAUGCUUAAAAAAUUAGAAAAAGGGAAUUGUAUUGCAGUUGGUAUGAGGCAUGCAUGCGUAUGUCAUAUCAGUUGCUGAACAAACUUUGCCUUUUAAUUUUGUAGGCAUUACUAUCUCAAAUUUUCUAUUAUCAUAAAUGAGUUUUUUUUUUUUUUAACAAAUCAUAAACGAGAUUAAGAUAAUCUUUUUUAAAAAAAAAAGAAGACAAAUUUAGAAAGUAGUGAGAGAUGGAGAAAUAAAGUAAUUAUAUUCAUAAAUAUAAUGUUUUUGGUGCAGCGACACAAACUAAUAAAUUAUAGUUUAUGAGAUUAGUUUACAAAAUCUUACACUCUCUAGACUUCUCAUUUAGGUGCCUUUUCUGGAACCUCUCCAGCCAUAAACACAUUUUUAUUAAACAAAACAGAAAAAAAAAAUUAUAUAUAGCUGUUCAUAAGGACUAUUUCUUUUGUACAGAAUACACAAUUGGCCACUAAAAUUAGUUGAGGAGAAAAUUUACACGAGAUGAGUACAUUACAUUAUCAGUAUUUUUGUCUAAUUUGAACGCACGUUUGUUUUAGGAAUCUUACUAGAAUGGUCUCUCAUAAAUUUUUCUCCAAUUUGAGAGAGAGUGGGGACUAGGUUAAAGUGCAUAUACGUAGAAUUAAUUAAAAUUAAAUUUAUUUUUUAAAACUAUUUUAACUAGAAGUAGUAGCAAUUCUUUUUAUUAUUGUUAUUCCAAUUAUAUCAAAAUCUCGUGACUCGUGAUCAAAUUAAGUAGUUCAUUAAAUUUUUUUAGGUGACGUACGGUAUGGAGUUUUUAUAAAGCUAUAUAAAUAGCAAAAUAUUUAAUUUUGUUUGUCGUAAACUUUUAAUUUGCCUGGGUUAAAAAAAAGAAAAAAAAAUGAAAAAAGAAAUUGACUUAUGAAUUAAUUAACAAUUAUAGAAAGAAUAAAUAGAAAACUAUAGUUGCGUGAGAAAACUCUCGCGAAAAGGGGCUCCAGAUUUCCUUUCCCUGGCUUCGUGCGUUUCCUGUUUGCCCUUUCGAGCACGAAUUCGAAUCCAAUACUUAAUAAUAAGGAUAUAAUAUUAUUAUAAUACUAAUAAUUAACAUUAAAAUAUUAAAAAUAAGGAAAAAAAAUCCAAAUUUUUAGUGGUAUAUAAGAUAACGCAGGGCCAAAGCGAUAGCGAAACAUCAAAUUGUUUUUAUUUCAACCUUCGCGCAACUUCCGGUGACAUAAUUUUUCUCUGUUUCAGGUACAUACAUACCCAAAACUAAACUUUGCAUGUAUCAAUCUUGUAUUUUUGUUAUUCAUUCACACAUCCUUCUUUUCUUUCUUUUCUCUUUUGCUGUAAUUUUUUAUGAAACACUCUUCUGUUUCAGUUCUGUUUCUGGUUUUGUUUCAGUUUAAUAUUAUUGGUUCCGUUCGGGUCUGUUCUGCUCUGUUCUCUGUUGUAUGUAUAUGUGUAUAUGUUUUUGGCCUCGAAUUGCUUUGAUCACCGGUUUUGUUAUUCAUUUAUCGUGAAUUUUAGAUACCCGUUAAACUUGUUUGGCCAUGUAUUCACUUGAUUGUUACAUUCAGCUGCCAUUUUCAUGGUGGGUUUGUAAGAUAGUCUCUGACUAGCAUACGGCAUUGAUUAUGAAUGAUGGUUUUGUGAGAUACAUCAUACAGACGUUAACUUGUAUUAACAUUGUUGUGCGCGGAAUGCGGAAUCAAGCGCACCAAAUAAUUAUAGAAAAAUAAAAGACACAAGAAUUACAUGGUUCAGUAAUUAAACCUACAUCCACGGAGGCAAGAAAGAAUAAUUGUAUUAUUAACAAUUAAUAGAGUAUAAAUAUUUGAGUAACGAAUCUCACUUCCCAGAAACUCAAAUAUACCCAGUACUCUCACACUCUGCAGGAAAGAUAAAUUCCCCAGACACACUUCUCUCACUUCUCUCACUUCUCUCAAAAGCUUAAAAACUUAUAAGCUUAACAAUUUUGGGAUGAUAUGGAAUGAAGAAAUGUUCUCUAUUUAUAGGCUUGAAGCUAGUACUAUUCCACCUAACCCAAUCACUAUUCCACCUAACCCAUGCAAAUAUGUCAAUGGUGUCCAUUUGGCAAAUUUGACAAAUUUGCCAACUUUUCAUUUUUUCUUCAAUUGUUUGGUAGCUCUUUGAAAAAUUGCAUGCUUUCUUGAAUUUGCAUGCCACGUGCAUGAUUUUUCAACAAUUCUCCACCUCGGCGAAAAUUUGUCCAAAUCUAAGCCGACUACCAAUGAACCAUCAUCCCUAAGGUGGCUGCAUCUCUGUGACUGCUUACGUACCCAAAAUUUGGGAUCAAGCCAACUGUAGUUCAAAAUUCCCGAAGGACAUAUCUUAACACAAGCGAAGGAUUUGAAUUAGUUUCAAGCAAUGUUGAAACUUAACUCCAGAAACUACCUUCGUCAACAUAUCUUAUGGAUUAUCUUUUGUAUCGAUCUUCUUCAACAACACAUCACCACCUUCGAUAAUCUCCCUCACAUAAUGAUAUUUCACAUCUAUGUGCUUCGUCCGAGCGUGAUAUGUUUGAUUCUUCGCUAGGAAUAUCGCACUUUGGUUAUCACAAAAGACCACAAUGUUUUCUUGGAUUACUCUCAAAUCACCUAACAAGCCUUUCAACCAGAUAGCUUCUUUUACAGCUUCAGUUGCUGCCAUAUACUCUGCUUCCGUAGUGGACAAAGCAAUUGUCGAUUGUAGAAUCGACCUCCAGCUAAUCGAUCCUCCACCCAAUGUGAAUACGUAGCCCAUUGUUGAUCUUCGCUUGUCAAGGUCUCCAGCGAAAUCAGAAUCACAAUACCCAACACAUUGUUGACCACAAUCCUUCUUGAACAAUAACCCAACAUCAAUUGUCCCAUACAGAUAUUGGAGAAUCCACUUUACCGCAAGCCAGUGAUUUUUACCCGGAUUGUGCAUGUAUCUACUAACCAUGCUCACUGCUUGAGAUAUAUCGGGCCUUGUGCAUACCAUAGCAUACAUAAGACUACCCACAACACUAGCAUAUGGAACACGAGCCAUGUAAUCGCACUCCUCUUGAGAUCUAGGACAUGAAGAAGAGCUUAAUUUGAAAUGAGGAGCUAGAGGUGUACAUACCGGUUUAGUUUUGUCAUCCAUACCAAAUCUUUCUAGCACUUUCUUCAAAUAAGACUUUUGAGUCAACCAUACGCUCCCAUUCUUCUUGUCUCUACGAAUCUCCAUCCCAAGUAUUCUCUGUGCAUCACUCAAGUCUUUCAUCUCGAACUCAGAAGCCAACUGCUUUUUUAAUCUUUUGAUCUCAUCUCCAUUCUUUGAAGCUAUAAGCAUAUCGUCGACAUAGAGUAACAAAUAGAUGAAAGCUCCAUCUAGUAGUUUUCUAAAGUAAACACAAUGAUCGUGUUCACUUCUAGUGAAUUCUGCCCUUGUAUAAAUUGAUCAAAUCUUUUGUACCACUGCCUUGGCGAUUGCUUCAGUCCGUACAAAGAUUUAAUCAACCUACAUACAUGAUUCUCCUUUCCAGCAACUCUGAAACCACAAGGCUGAAUCAUAUACAUUUCUUCCUCCAAAUCUCCAUAUAAGAACACCGUCUUAACAUCCAAUUGAGCCAACUCUAACUCAUAUUCUGCAACUAAGGCAAGUAGGAUACGAAUGGAAGUAUGUUUUACAACUGAAGAGAAAACUUCAUUGUAGUCAAUAUCUUCCUUCUGAGCAAAACAUUUUGCCACGAGCUUUGCCUUGUAUCGAGGAGUUGAUUGAUUUAGAGAUCCUUGUUUUUUGGUGUAGACCUAUUUAUUACCAAUAACCUUUUUCCCCUUUGGUAACUUUACAAGUUCCCAAGUCUGGUUUUGAUGGAGAGAUUUCAUCUCUUCCUCCAUGGCUAACUUCCACUGAUCACUUGCACUGAUGCGUAAUGCUUCACCGAAAGUGUUGGGGAUGUCAUCAUCAAUAACUGGAAGUGCAUAGGCUACCACCAUAUCUUUAGUAACCUAUCCGAAUUUCUUUAUCUCUCUUCUUGGCCUCCUUGUUGCUAUAAAAUCAUCAUUAUCUACAUCAUCAAUUGUUUCUUCAUUUUGUGGGACAUCAGAAGAAACAACCUCUUCUUCAACUCUAGGUGUCACCUCCAUAAUUGAACUGAAACAACCCGCCCCGAACCCCCAGGGCGAGUCUAUCUAAACUCGUAUAAUCAAAUCGAUAUUAUUUAUGAUAUCUAAGAAUUCUAUUAAAAAUUCGGCAGAAUCUCCCUUAUAAAUAAAACAUCCCCAAACCUGCAAUUUACAAAACCAUACUCCCAAAAAUAAUUCAAUAUCCAUCCAACUCUCAUAACCAACUUCUCAAGUUAACAUAUCAAAUUUCAUCAAAAUCAUUCUAAUAUUAAAAUACAUGGGUUAUCCUUAAUUACAAAAUAUAAUAAAUCAAAAUUGUUAAAUCUACGACUCUUAGCACCAUCACGUGGCCACAAUUUCAAAACUAACAUUCGUUACUGGGUCAACUGAUGUACCUGCAAAUCUCCUGUGGGGGGAAAAAUAUAAUAAAAACGGGGUGAGUAUAAAACUCAGUGAGCUCAGUGAUUGGAUAAUAGUUUUUGGAAAAAUAAAUAAAUUUAUUUAAAAUGACUUAAUCUUUCCCAAAUCAAUUUCUCAAAUCAAUUUCAUCAAAAUAUCAUAAGAACUUACAUAAACUUAUUUAAUUCAAAUCAAUCACUGAAAUUCUAUAUUACAUAAAUCUACAUAGAAUCGAUGGAAUCAUAAUACUUAUCAUAUCAAAUACUGAAUACCAAAAACUAUCAUCAAACAAGUACCCAGAGGAAUGAUCUCAUCAUAUCCGGACCUCGACGGACGGGCAAUCAGGGAACCAUCAUGCCCCGGAGCUACAACAGAUAGAUGGGGAAAAUCUCAUCUCAUAUCUCAUGUAUCUCAACAUCUGUAUCUUUGUAAUCAUCAUACUGCAUGCAUAAGCCCCCAAAAGGCAAAAGCGCCCAAACACACGGUCCAAAGCCUCUAUGUGUGUUCAGACGGGCCCCAAAGGCGUCUAUCUCAUCUCAUCUGUAUCUCUGUAUUCAUCUCAUAUUAUCUGUAUCUCUGUAUCUAGAGGGGAAGGGUACUGUCCAAUGAUUUUCCAAACAACAUUUAUACUCAUGUACAUAAACAUAUAAUCACAUCUGAAAUCUCAUUUUCUUUCUAUGCAACAUAUCUCAAAUCUGCUCAAUUCUAAUAUCAUGCAUAAAAUCACUAAUCAAACUCAUUCUUAGUAACAAUAAAUAUCAACACAUAGAUAAAAAUCAAUUUUCUAGAAAAUCAUUAAAUCGAAGCAUCAAAUACUUAUUUAUCAAAACAUAAUGCACUGUAUCAUAAAAUCAGCAUAUACUAUGAAAAUAGAUUUUGCAUAUUCCACUCACAGUGAUGAUGUCCAGACUCGGUAUCAACAACGUUUGCGGUUUGAUUCUCGUUCGCAGAUCCUCCUAAUCAAGGAAACGCCAUAAUCAUUCUCCGUAAACUUGAAAUACAACUAAUUUUAUAUAAUAAAUCUGGAAACGAAUAUCUAUCAAAUACCCCCAACAUCAUUAUUUUACCAAAUUAUCCUCAGAAUCUUCAAUUACUAAAUGGUCCUCAAUUUAGAUCACAUAAAUAACCACAAUGUCAGAAAUUACGAAAUUACCCUCGGAGCAUAAAUUUACCAAAAUGUCCUUAACGACUUAAAUUACCGAAUUACCCUCGAAAUCUCAAAUUACCUCACUGCCCUAACUUAAAAUUACCAAAUUAUCCACUGAUUCCAUAAAUUAUAAAUUCACCCUAAAGUUUUAUGAAUUUACCGAAUUGCCCCUGCCGGUAAACGGUGACCGGACUUCAGUCAACGACGACGGGAAGCUUAGGUCUGAUAGUUUAGACCUCGGUGAGUCCAAUGGUGGUGGCCGUGAGUCCCCACGAGCGGUGCCGGCGGCGGAUCAAGCUUCCUAGGCCGUGAGCUUUCAAAGUGGCUGAUCGGCGGUAAUCCGGCCGUUUCGGGUGACGAGGUUGGUCGGAAAAUGAUGCUGGUAACGUGAGGAGUAGAAACCAACUGGAAGUGUGCCCAAACUCUGGCAAAAUCGACGGCGGCGAAAACGGGCCUUGGCCGCGAGUUUUCGAGCUUAAUCGCCAGCGUUUUGGUCGGUUUCCGGUGACGAGGACGGCGGGGUUAUGACGGUCGGCUUCCAAGCUUCAGAUCGGUACCAAGCUCGGCCGGUGAGGUGGCCAGAAUCGGGAGAUCCGUCCGGGUCAAUGUCGCGAGUCGGGUCGGGUUUGCGGGUCAAAAAUCGGGUCAAACACUCACUCUCUCUCUCUCUCGUGCCUCCUCUCUCUCCUUCCUUUCUAAAAAUAGUUUCCCCCCCUUUCCAUAUAAAAAAAAAACCGACUUCUUCUUCCUUUUUUUUUUCUUAAGCUUAAUACAAAUUAAACUAAUACCGGACCCGUGACGAAAAUAAAAUCCAACUAUUCGAACUUUUAAUCGCACUCAAAUUAUCUCGAUUUAAUGUCGUGACAAAUUUUAAAAUUAAUAACGAAGAGGAAAAAUUAAAUCAUACACUUAAUUAAGAAAAAUCAAAGUGCAUAUGUUACAUGAACCCUUAUUUAAUGUAGAACUAACUGGUACAUAUGGAGUUGCAUCAAACUCCACCCACUGUAAUACCUCUUUGGUCUUAUUCUCCACCUGUUGAGAAUUUGAAGCUUUCAUCAUUGAAGCUUCAUCAAAUGUGACAUCUCUUUUACACACAAACUUUUUGUCUUCGAGAUCCCAAAGCUUAAAGCUCUUUACUCCACCUUUGAAUCCUACAAAGAUAGCUUUACUAGCACGAGGAUCCACUUUACCAUCUUUGACAUGAUAAUAAGCUGAACACUCGAAUAUACGAAGGGAAUCAUAGUCUUGUGCAUGCUUUCCAGACCACAUUUUCAUAGGAGUUUUACCUCCAAUUGUAGCAGAAGGCAACCGGUUUACCAAGUGACUUGCGUAACUCACAGCUUCAACCCAAAACUUUUUAUCUAAACCAGCAUUAGAUAACAUACACCGUACUUUCUCCAGUAAAGUACGAUUCAUACGCUCAGCCACACCGUUCUGUUGCGGAGUAUGUCUCACCGUGAAAUAUCUUUUAAUACCCUCGUUCUGGCAUACUUGCAAGAAUGGAUCAGAAGUAUAUUCACCCCUAUUAUCAGAUCGUAAUACUUUGAUCUUUCUGCCAGUUUGAGUCUCCACCAAUUUCUUCCAUUUCACGAAAAUCUCUAGAACUUCAUCCUUUGCUCGCAUGGUGUACACCCACACACGUCUAGAGAAAUCAUCAACAAAUGUAACAAAAUAAUGGCUUCCACCAAUUGAUGCAGUCUUGGUUGGUCCCCAUACAUCACUAUGAACAUAUUCAAGGAUCUCACGAGUAUCGUGAUUAACUGUACCAAACUUGACCCUUGUUUUCUUGCCUACUACACAAUGCUCACAGAAAUUUAAUUUACAGGUUUUGGUACCUUUUAAGAGUCAGUGCCUCAUCAGAGUUUGCAAAGAUUUCUCGCCAGCAUCUCCCGAUCGUAAAUGCCAUAGCUUGGUGGUGUCACUGUGCGCCUCAACAAUAUUUGCUUCAUCAGUUGUACCUCCCUUUAUAUAGUACAAACUGUGACGUCGAACCCCUUGUAGACUCACCAUAGCCCCAUGUGUAAACUUCAUUGUGCCAUCUUCAAUGGUAACCUUGUAGCCUUUAGCUUCCAAAGCACCCACAUAAAUUAGAUUUUUCUUUAAAGCUGGAACAAAUCUAACCUCUUUGAGUUCUCUGACCAUUCCAUCAAACAUUUUGAGCCGAAUUGUUCCUAUCCCCAUUGUGCGACAAGGUUGAUCAUUCCCCAUCACAACUGCACCGGAUUCCAGAUCAUGAAAAUCCGUAAACCAUUCCUUAAUAGGACACAAAUGAUAGGUUGCUCCAAUAUCAAGUAUCCACUCGCUCGAACUAGCCACGUAUGCUGCAGGAGUAAUACUUAGUGAAUAAUCAAAGUCCUCAUCUUUCCGUGCCAUAUUUAUUGCUGCUGGUUUCUUCCCAUCUCUCUUUUGAGCCUUUGGACAAGCUUUCCUCCAAUGGCCCUUUUCAUGACAAAAGGCACACUCGUCUCGAGCUAUAUUUCUACUUCUCGAUUUGGAUCGAGAAUUCUUUCCACCACGCUUUUUCUUUUUCUCCAUCGCCCAAUCUCUGCUCACCAAAGCUUCAGACGAUGCUCGUUCAGAAUUUUUAUUAUUAUUCCGAAUCUCCAAGUUAGUCAAUGCUGUGCAAACAUCUUUGAAGAUGAUCACACUUUUCUCAUAUAUCAAGGUAGUCACAAAAUGGCUAUAUUCCUCUGGUAGUGAGUGUAACAGAAUCAUAGCCUUGACUUCAUCCUUAAUAUCUUCAUCAAGAUUCUUCAAAUCAGCAAGUAACUUUUCAAAUCUUGAGACAUGAUCGUAAAUUGACACCCCAUGCUUCAUUCGAAAGCCAUAUACUUGGCUCAUUGCAUGAAGGCGAUUUUUAGGACUUUUUAGCAAGUACUUCUCCUCCAAUGUACGCCACAAAGUCAUCGCACACUCCUCAUCCUUCACCAAGUAUUUCACCUCCUUAGUCAAACAAGAUCUGAUAUGACCACAUGCUUUUUUAUUCAUACAAUCCCAAAUUUCUUCAUCAUACAAGUGUCUUUUAUUUUUCAGAACAACAUCCAGAUCGAUUUGAAUAAGGGCGUCCAUAACUUCGCGCCUCCACAUGCCGAAGUUGAUUUUCCCAUCAAACUUUUCAACAUCGAUUUUCUGGCCUCCUAUAACAGGCGUUGAAUAGCGAUUUGACAAAUCUCGCCUCCCACCUGAAGUGUCUCCUGAAAUAGUCUCGGUAGAUCUCUCCCCAAUUCUGGAAGUUUCACCUUCUACCAUUUUCUCAACGAACUAUUUCCACUUGAAAAACAGUCUCUAUGAUGUUAAUUUCGCGUGAAUAAAUGCACUAGGAAAGUUCCCAGGAGACUGGACGGGAACUCAGUCCUAAUUAAAAACCAGAAUCCUUAGACUCUUAUCGCCUUUGUUGACAGAACUUUUCUAGACAUGCAAAAAUACACACUACUUACAAUAGACUGUCUCCCAAGUACAAAUGGUCGUCUCCACCGUAUUCGUGAACAGUACCAUAUACGUGAAUAGUACCGUAUACGUAAACAAUACCGUAUCCCCCAAGUACGAACCGUCGGCUCUGAUACCACUUGUUCUACCCGGAAUGCGGAAUCAAGCACACCAAAUAAUUAUAGAAAAAUAAAGGACACAAGAAUUACGUGGUUCAGUAAUUAAACCUACAUCCACGGAGGCAAAAAAUAAUAAUUGUAUUAUUAAUAAUUAAUAUAGUACAAAUAUUUGAGUAACGAAUCUCACUUCCCAGAAACUCAAAUAUACCCAGUACUCUCACACUCUGCAGGAAAGAUAAAUUCCCCAGACAUACUUCUCUCACUUCUCUCAAAAGCUUAGAAACUUAUAAGCUUAACAAUUUUGGGAUGAUAUGGAAUGAAGAAAUGCUCUCUAUUUAUAGGCUUGAAGCUAGUACUAUUCCACCUAACCCAAGUACUAUUUCACCUAACCCAAGCACUAUUCCACCUAACCCAUGCAAAUAUGUCAAUGGUGUCCAUUUGGCAAAUUUGAGAAAUUUACCAACUUUUUAUUUUUUCUUCAAUUGUUUGGUAGCUCUUUGAAAAAUUGCAUGCUUUCUUGAAUUUGCAUGCCACGUGCAUGAUUUUUCAACAAACAUGUACUUCCUUCAUUUAAAAGAUUAGUGUUUCUCUCUCUCUCAAUUUUUUUAAGAAAAAAAAUGAAAUGCCCCUUUUCGCAUUUUCCAGUUUCUCCAACAUACAGCGGGUCGAUGUGGAGUAACAGAUGAUUGAAUAUUUUCAUUUUAGUUCAAUUGUCAUUUCUUUUUUAAUCGGUAAAGUUUAAUCAUUUCUCUUAAAUCGACAACUUAUGCAGGGCCAUAUCAACCGUCCAUGACAUUUUUAUUACAGCGAUGUCUUUGUACUUUGUGUUUUGGUCGGAUCUCAGAGUUUGUGCAUAGCACACUUGGUUCUACUGUUUGUUUGUCCCUUCACAGGCAUUUCGAUAAACUGUUAUUUUUGUUCUUUGGAAGUGAAUAUUUUCAGCAACUAGAACUCCGAAGCAUCUUGAAUGAUCCAUUUUAUGAUUCUCAAUACCUAUAAAAGAAUGUCAUAGAAAACAGUUUCCAAAGCAAGUUGCAUGUGUUUUGAAUUUGUCUUUGCAAGCCACUAGUUGCUUGGAGCACACUGUUAGCCUAUCGUGAUCCCAACCACUUUUUUGGAUAGACAAUUGUGCAUCCAUAUGAUCUGGACUAAACUAGUUUCUAAUAAAUAAUUGCCCAAGGAUUUAGUCUCAGUGUUACAGCCUAGUCUUUGUUGUCAAUACUCUUUCCCCUGUCGUGGAUGAGCGCCAUAACAGCUUCUUAAUGUUUUCCAGUGGCUUUUGCACGGUUGUUGUUUCCUUCUGAAGCUAGAGUAGCUACGGAUAGAGCGGAUGCAGAUGCCACCAAUUUUUAUGAUGGCCUUUCAGCAUCAAAAUCAAAAGGAUCAAGUGGGAACUUAAAGGAGGUUUAUUAGAAUGAAACACCCUCUAUGCAAGCCAAGAGACUCCAAUUAAGACUGCAAGCUCUGCUUAAAACAGGUAUUUAUCUCAACAAAAUGUUAGAACCUUUGCACCACUGGAGACAUUUUCUUCGAGCAUUUACCGGACUUUCUAUGAUUGCAGUGUAGACGGGUCGACGCUACUUCCCUCGUACUCGUUGCUCGGAAGUGGUUGAUAAGUUUCUGGAUUGUGAUUGGUCCGAUGCUUCCUUCCUCGAAAAGGGUACUCCUGAAGAGCAGAAACUCAAAAGGACACGCUUCAUGGAACUCAAAGAAGACGUGAAGAAGGCAUUUUACAAGGACAUGGCUGAGAAAAAUCGUUCAGGUUUGUCGUCAUCCACGUCAUCGUCAUCUUCUCCAAAGGAAGGAGUAAAGUGUAAGGGUAGGAAAAGGUGAUGCUUAGCUGCUUGUCUUUGUAUUCAUUUAUAGGAAACUAAGAGAGUUUUACUGAGUUUGAUUGUUACUUGUGGAGAGAUACUCUUAGAGCCUAUGUUAUGGCUAUGUUGUAAAAUAGCAGAGGAACUUCAAGCUUGCAUUGUUGUAUUUUCCCAGGUAUUUGGAAUGUAAUAUACUAAAUGACAGAAUUUUCUAAUUUUAGAGGGGAAAAAUAUGUCAGUGAAUUAUUUGUUUAUUUUAUCUGUUUAAAUCACUUUAUAAUAUAGCUUUUUUUUUCAAAAAAAAAAAAUCUCCAUAUCUUCAUCUGAAAACUCGAGUCAUGUGUAACUUCUUUCAGGGAGAAAAAGGGGGGAAAGAAAAGGCAUUUGUACCUGUAUUUUACAGUACUGACUCUCAUACAGAAAUUGGUUGAGAUGACAUUAAUGUUCUUCGAAAUAGAUGAAUAUGCAGAAUUUUCAUCGAAAUUGAAAUUAGAAAUGGAUGGAUAUGAAUUAUAUAUAUGUAGAACUUUUUAACAGAAUUUUUAUCUAAAAAUUUGUUGCUCAUUACCCUCCCGAAGAAAUAUAAAAUUUUCAAUUGUAGAUAUUAAAUUUUAAAUUUAUAAUAUAAUAAAUGUGACUUGAGGUGCACAUCACCCAUAUAAUAAUAAUUAAGAAAAGAAAAUACAAAAUUUGUAAAUUACCAAUUUUUUAAAUUUAAUUAAUUUUAUACCCAAAUUCUCAUGCUCAACGGCCGCUAGAAUUGGCUAUUGUAAUUUUGCCAUCCUCAUUAUUCACUGGCCAUUUUUGGACCACAACAUAAUAAAAAUAGCAUUGAUUAAUACUAAUAAAUUUCUUUUGAUUAUUUUGUUGUGUGAUGAUCUAGUGAGUACAAGUGUCCAUCAUAGCACCUGAACUGCUGAACAUGUGGUAACAUUCUGCGAUUCUCUAUAAAAUAGUAUUUAAAUUGUGUAUUAACUAGACAGUUCUAUAUAGACAAUUGUCCACUAAAUCAUUACUUUAUUUUGUAUAUAUUUAUGAUAAUUGUUGAAGAAAAAUGUAAAGUGAGAUUAAUGAACAUUAAUGAAUGUGGGAAAUUAACACAACUAGGAUUUAUGAUGAAAUAAUUUUAUGUCAAAUGAGUGAGUGAAUGGAUGUUAAAAAACUUGUAAUAUAUAUUUUUUGAAUUGUUAUAUAAACAAGUUCAUCACUAACAAUAAAUUGAAUUAUGAAUUGUUUAAUAAUUCAAAAUCUCAUUCACCCUUCAGUGUUUAUAGUAUUUUUUAGAAUACAAAAUUGUAAACAACCUCACCCUUAAAUGAUAUAAUGAUAAAAUAAUUUUAUGUCAAAUGAGUGUAAGUGAAUGGAUGUUAAAAAACUUGUAACAUAUAUUUUCUGAAUUGUUAUAUAUGCAAGUUUGUCACUAACAGGAAAUUGAAUUAUUAAUAUUUUAAUAAUUCAAAAUCUCAUUCAACCAUCGGUGUUUAUAAUUUUUUUGAGAGUACAAAAUUAUAAACAACCUCAUCUUUAAUAAUAUAAUGUUAAACCUUUUCAAAAAUUUAUUCCAUUAUAGUUGUCUUAGUCAGUUAUACUUAUUCCAAAUUGAAGAUAAAAAUAGUACUUCAUAUGUCAUACAUUACUUAAAGAAAUUUUUUUAUCAACUUAUGAGCUAGAGAAAGAAUGCAAUAAAUUACGUCUAAAAUUGUAAAAUUAAUCAAUCACUAAAUAAAUAUAAUGUUAUAUGUGUAUGUGUAUAUAUUACACAAACUCUGAAUCUCAUGAGCUAUCUUCGGAUGAUGUAUCAUACUCAAAAAUCUAUUUUUGCUAAUGAUUAUACUAACAUUUAAAGGUCUCUCUAAGCUACAUUGUAAUUCCAAUUCUUGUGGCUGCCUUCCAUUGCCAACUGAACCAGCUCCGCUCUCCCUGCAUCCAGAGAGUGGUAAGGUAAAAUCUUGAUAAUGUCUGUCUCGAGAAAGAGCUUCCUGAUGAAGUUUCAAGUGAAAUCAAAUCACUCCGUGUCAAAUCUAACCAGGAGUGUGAAGCGAAUAUAGCAGAAGUGGAUCCUAUGCAUGCAACAAGAGUCAGAGGAAUCCACGAGGCACUGGACUCUUAUGACUUUGAACUGUUGAAGCUUCUUCUGGAUGAAUCUAAUGUCACUUUGGAUGAUGCUUAUGCUCUGCACUAUGCUGCUGCCUACUGCAGCCCUAAGGUUUUUAAGGAAGUGCUCAAUAUGGACUCGGCUGGUCUCAAUCUUAAGGAUGCAAGAGGACAUACGGUGCUUCAUGUGGCUGCAAGGCGUAAGGAGCCAGCAGUGCUGGUGACUCUGCUGAGCAAGGGAGGAUGCGCAUCAGAAACUACAUCAGAUGGGCAAACAGCUGUGGCAAUCUGUCGGAGAAUGACAAGGAGAAAGGAUUAUAUUGAAGCUACAAAGCAAGGGCAGGAAACUAACAAAGACCGGUUAUGCAUUGAUGUCCUUGAGAGAGAGAUGAGAAGGAACUCCAUGUCUGGGAACUUGGCACUGUCAUCAGAGGUGAUGGCUGAUGAUUUCCAAAUGAAGCUGAACUAUCUGGAAAAUAGAGGUGAUAUUUCUUUACUGGUAUUAGUUCAUCACCUUCUCAGAGUUUGUGCUAUGCACACUUCUUUCUACUGUUUGUUUGUUCCUUCAUCUUAGCAUCUCAAACAUUGCUGUAAAUGGGAUAACUACACAGUCUACACUUGUGCUAGCAUCAUGACUUUUUGAUGAACUGUUAUUUUUGUUAUUUGGAAGUGAAUAUUUUCAGCAACUAGAACUCCGAAGCAUCUGGAAUGAUCCAUUUUAUCAUUCUCGGUACCUAUAGCAGAAUGUAAUGGAAAACAGUUUCCAGAACAAAUCGCAUUUGUUUUUGGAAGCCAGUAAUUGCUUGUGGCAAACUGUUAGCCAGCCAUAAUUCCAUCCACUAUCUUGGAUAGGCAAUUGUGUAUCCGUAUGUUCUGGGCAUGGGGGUUUCGACUGAACUAGUUUUAAUAAAUAAUUGCACAAUGAUUUAGUCUCAGUGUUACAGCCCAGUCUUUGUUGUCAAUACUCCCCCCCCCCCCCCCCCCCCCCCAAAAAAAAAAAAAAAAUUGAGUUACGAAUAAAUUUUUCCUAUUAUGUAGGAGGGCCAUAAAAGUUUUUAAAUUUUAUCCAGUUUUUUUUGAGCGGUGGCUGUUUCCUUCUGAAGCUAUAAUAGCUAUGGACAUAGCAGAUGCAGAUGCCACCAAUUUUUGUACUGGCCUUUCAGCAUCAAAAUCAAAAGGAUCAAGUGGGAACUUAAAGGAGGUUGAUUUGAAUGAAACACCCUCUAUGCAAGCCAAGAGACUGUAGGCUCUGCUUAAAACAGGUAUUUAUAUACCUUAUUAGUUUUUGUAUCCAAAGAGAGAGGUUAAUUUUUAUUACAUUGAUAUCUCAACAAAAUGGUCUUUUCUUAGAGCAUUUACUGAACUUUCUAUGAUUGCAGUCGAGACGGGUCGACGCUACUUCCCUCACUCCUCCAAAGUCAUUGAGGAGUUUAUGAAUUGUGAUUGGUCUGAUGCUUCUCUUCUGGAAUUUGGUACUCCGGAAGCGCAGAAACUUAAAAGGGCUUGCUUCCACGUGCGGAAGGCAUUUUGCCAGGACAUGGCUUCUGACAAUCGUUCAGGGCCGUCAUCAUCGUCAUCGGCAUUCUUCGUUCCUUAAAAAAAUCAAGAAAAAUUUAGAAAGUAGUGAGAGAUGGAGAAAUAGAGUGAUUAUAUUCACAAAUAUAAUGUGUUUAGUGCAACAAUACAAACUAAUAAAUAAUAAUUUAUGAGAUUAGUUUAUAGAAUCUUACAUAUAAAAUUAUAUCCUCUGAAUAAAAAUCUUCACAGCUCUUUUGACUUCUCAUUUAGAUGCCCUUUCUAAGAUCACUCCAUUUUCUAGGAUCACUCCAUUUUAAUAGGAAGAAUUAGCGUAUCUCCACUUUUCUCCCCCGCCGUUUGUAUACCGUUUGUUACUGUUAAUGGACGAAGCUACAAGUCUUCUCUUUCAUCAAAUCGAUCCAUCACAAAUACAAGUCUGCUGCACCCCACCAAAAACACACAUACUCCAUCUCUAAAUACUUUGAAGAUAAACAAAUCAACCGUAAUCCUGCAACUUUAUCUCAGAGAAUCGGAUAAGAAAAGAACAGGCAAUGAAUCAACGGUAUUGGCGCCGAGUGAGUGUCGCCUGCGGUCGGCGUUAGAGGCGACUGUCACUCAAUCGCGUACAAGGUUAGUCUUUGAAAAAACUCUUUGCAUGUUAGAAAUCAGUGAUUAGGCAUUAUUUUGAUAUUUAAAAAUGAAAAUGGGUUUAUUAGUUUGUCGAAGAAUCUGCUUUGUUGCCGGUGUUGUUUGUCGAUUAAAAUGAAAAUGGGUUUGUUGAUGUGUUGAAGAAGUUGCUCUACUGCUGGUGGUUUUUUUAUUAAUUAAAAUGAAAAUGGGUUUGUUAAUUUAUUUAAGCAGCUGCUGGCAUUGAUGAACUUAUGAGCUAAUAGUAUUGUUUGAUCAAGCUUGUGUUCUUAAUAGUGGAGUUGAUAUUCUUAAAAUGAAUUUAUGAUUAUGAGAAUAUGAAAAUUGAACGGCAUCGUAGAGAUCUGGAUUAAUCACCAUCGCGUAUGUUUCUAAAUAAAGGAAUGAGCAGCAAUCGAUUUGAAAGUUAAGACUUUAGGAAUAUGUAUGUGCAACUGAAUGAAUUAUCAGUUGCUAUCUUGUAAGUCAAUACUAGCAUAUUCCUUAAUGGCAAGUGAAGCUAUUUUAUGUGUAUUGCUGCCUAUCAAAAUGUUUAUGUUUGAAGCUAUCUCCUUUUAGGAAAUUGAAUGCUUCUGUGAGUUCUCUGAUAAGGGCUAUACAACCAGCUCUAACAGAUUCCUUCAUGUGCAUUAAUUAGCUUAAUGAUUUAUUGACCUAUAUCCAAUGUCUAUUCUCCUUUUCUGUAGCUGUCUAGCUUUAUGAGGGUGUGAAGUGAACUUUUGUUUUAUGUUUCAGGACUUGGGAUUAGAGUGUAUAACAUUCAAUAUCUUUUUAUCAAAGAACUGAUAUAUGUUAAUGUAGUGCGAUCUGGUCUUUAUUAGCUUCUUGAUUUGCCAGGAUGUUUGACAACCAUCUUUGACUACGAUUGCCAACAUAUAAGCUGCUACAUAUUGUGUCUCAGGAAUCACAACAAAUUAUUAUCAUAAUAUGGUGAUUUUGAAUCCAAAACUUGGUAGUGUCAAGAAAAUAGACCCCAUGUUUAUUUAUCUUCAUGUUUUGUAUGCGGCUGCAAUAGACUAUUAUAAGUUACUUUUAGUUUUAUCAAGUUUUUUUUCCCCUUAAAUUUCAGUUAUUUCAGCGGCUUCUUUUAAGUGAGUUAAUAGUGUUGUUAGGUUAAACUAAGUUUGGCUUCAUAAGAUUCAUAGUAGAGUGUAAAACUGGGUACAAUUUUGGGUUAAGACAAGUCAAAAGUCUUCUCAAGUAAUUGUUCUGCUUACUGAUUUGGUAAUUGCAACAUUGCUAAAUAGUUCAAUUUGUCCUUUUUUUUUGUUGAAUUUAUUGUAUGUCAUAUUACUUCAUUUAAUUAUUUUCUCAGAUCUUGUAGGUGAAAAUUUCAGCUUCAAAGGCCAAGCUAAUCAUCCAGCAAUUCAGUGAAACCAAGACACAGUGGCUCAUAAAUUGUUGUUGGCGAUCCAGCCAUUCGGGUGCUUGCCAGUCCUAGACGAGAGAACUUUCAACGCGGCGCAUAAAUUGUUGUUGAUCUGUUUUAUAUAUUUUGACCUUUGUGAUUUGUGAAUACAUGGUUUGAUUCCAGUGUUUACAACUUUGAUACUGUGUAUAACUUGAGAAGCAAAUGAAACAAAUAGGAAAUGUGUUUUUAUUUUUUUUAUUCUAUCUAUCUAUUUAUUUUUUGUUUGGAAAUGUAACAAUUUAUAGCUGGCAAAGUAAUAGAGUUGUAUACUUGUAUUUAAUUUAUUAUUAUUAAUUUUAAUGAAUCGGUAAUGUCAUUGUCCAUGGUGUUUUGUCAUUUCGAAAGUACUUAACCCUUCCACGCCAAGGCACAUCACAGCAGCCGAAAAUUUGAGCUUUCAGUUCUUGAUUUUAGCGUGAGGGGUAUCUUUGUCUUUUCAGUAGUCAACAUACGGUCAACAAAACAGUCUACAAACAAUCGGGGGUAAAAUCGGAUAUACGGUGAUACUUUCUAUCAUAGUGGCGAUACGCCAAACCUCAGGGGAGGAAACUGUAAAUUACCCCUUCGCGACCUGUGAACUUGGGUCAAAGCUUUCAUCUUUAAAGCUAAUAGGUAGAUCGCGAUUCAAGCUUCAGUUAUAACUUAUAAGCAUUUCAUUGUGAUUGAUAGUAUUCUCUCUUGAUAUAUAUAUAUAUAUAUUCACUUAAGCCGCUUACCAAUCCUUCUAAAAGCUUAAGCUGUUAGGCGAAGCACUACUUUAUACUUAAAAACACCCGAACCACGAGUAACGUCUACACAUUUAGUGCCACAUCACCCACGUGCGUGGGAUAGAGCCACCACAAGGGUGCGGGCCCCUAACACACGUAGUCUGGAUAUACCUUAAGCCCUGGUUUUAUAUAUAUAUAUAUAUAUAUAUAUAUAUAUAGAUUCAGUUUGAAUAUGGUUCUUGAUGGUAUCAUGGAAAAUGCGAACGAAAAGUCAGCAUCUUUGAGUUUUGUCUCAUCAUAUCUGACUUGUUGGUCCACUAAUCAAUCAACAGGCACUUGUGAUCUUGAUAAUUUGAACUUAAGGAUGCAAAGCACCAAUCCCGAAGAGACAUGGCUUGAAGCUGAGAUUGUUGUUGAGGGCAAAUCAGUGGCGGUUAAUCGCAGCGUAUUGUCUGAGCUCAGUCAAUUUUUUCGUCGGCUUUUUAAUUUGAGAAAUGAUGGUUCUGUCAGUGAGGGGAAACCCAAGUAUCUUUUGACUGAUUUGGUGCCUCAUGGGAAGGUUGGGUAUGAAGCUUUCAAUGAUAUCCUGCAUCGUCUUUACACUGGGAAGCUUAAGGCACCUCCUCCAGAAGUGUCCGCGUGUGUUGAUGAUGCUUGUUCUCAUGAUGCUUGCCCUCCUGCUAUUAAUUAUGCUAUUGAGUUGAUGUAUGCUUCCGCUGCUUUUCAGAUGAAAGAACUCGUUUUUCUUUUGCAGGUAAUUGUGCUUCCCUGCUAUUUGUAUUGCUUAAAUUUAUGCUUCUUGGUAUAGUUUUAACAUAUAUGGGAUUGAAAUCAAUUUCAGUUGUGAAGCAACUUCGGUGGUUCCCAAUAUUAGGCAUUGUAGUAGAUCCAAAAUUAGCUUGUUAAGAAGUGUAGAUACCGUAGAGCCCAAAACUUAGUCUUAUCUUGCAAGAGUCUGUUGUUUUAUUUUGAAAGAGACAAAAGUGAUGAUGAUGGGCAGCGAACUAAAGGAAUCAAUGCUUGCUGACACUGACUCCCAAGAAUGAUAAAAACUAACCAAAAAGGUAUAUAGAUUACAUGAGUCUGAAUUUGAUAAGUGCACCUAUCCUAUCACAAAAGCUUUUGCGUUGAGUUUCUAACCAAUGAAAAUUGUCACUUCUGUCUGUAGGCUUCAUAGAUUUGUUCAAGCCUUCAAGGAUGUCUGGCUGUUACUUACCGUCCAACAAUGGUGCUACAUUUCUAGUGAAUGAUAUGUUAUUCUACAUCUGUAAAUUGCAACUUUGACAAACUUCGCCUUUCCUUUGUUGAUUCACUCGUCUCACUUUUAUUAAAUUGCCCGAUUAUGAAAUGGUCUAUUGGAGACUAGCAUUGGAAGGUUUCUUCUGGAAAAAAUUUUACUUGACCACCAAUUUUCAUUUGGGUGGGUGUCAGUUCAUGCUCUGGCUUGACUGUUCUGUUAUUUAGGUUGUUUUAUCCGUAUUUUCUUCACUCACUUGAUGGUUAGUUCUCUCAUGCUUUCAAGCUCUCAACAGUGAAUGCGAGAGAUUCUCUUUUUUCCCGUCCAGGCUAUAACCUAGCAAAUUGUUAAUGCUGUAGAAUAACAUCUUGUGCAGGCGAGCUUAUGUCUCUGAACAUUGGUCCAUCGGCAUUAAGGUUUAAUAAGCAUGACACUGAACUUCCCCCUCAUUAUUAUUUUCCUGCACAGAUUAUCCUCUUUAAGUAUUUGAAUUUUGAAUAUCUUAUUCUGAAUCAAAACCCUAUCUGUGCUUGUAGCAUUUUAUAUAUGCUUUAUGAUGUUUACCAAUAAUUACCCACUAUGGGGUAUUUGAAUUUUGAAUAUAUUAUUCUGAAUCAAAACUCUAUCUGUCCGUGUAUCUUUGGCUUCGGAGCAUGGUUGAGAAGGCUCUCGUGGAAGAUGUAAUCCCAAUUCUCGUGGCUGCCUUGCAUUGCCAACUGAACCAACUCCGUUCUGUCUGCAUCCAGAGAAUUGCAAAGUCAAAUCUUGACAAUGUUUGUCUCGAGAAAGAGCUUCCUGAUGAAGUUUCAAGUGAAAUCAAAUCACUCCGUGUCAAAUCUAACCAGGAGUCUGAAGCUAACACAAAAGAAGUGGAUCCUUUGCGUGAAAAAACAGUCAGAAGAAUCCACAAGGCUCUGGACACUGAUGAUUUUGAACUGUUGACGCUUCUUCUGGAUGUAUCUAAUGUCACUCUGGAUGAUGCUUACGCUCUGCACUAUGCUGCUGCCUACUGCAACCCUAAGGUUUUUAAGGAAGUGCUCAAUAUGGACUUGGCUGGUCUCAAUCUUAAGGAUGCAAGAGGACGUACGGUGCUUCAUGUGGCUGCAAGGCGUAAUGAGCCAGAAGUGAUGGUGACUCUGCUGAGCAAGGGAGCAUGCGCAUCAGAAACUACAUCAGAUUGGCAAACAGCUGUAGCAAUCUGUCGGAGAGUGACAAGGCGAAAGGAUUGUAUUGAAGCUACAAAGCAGGGGCAGGAAACUAACAAAGACCAGUUAUGCAUUGACGUCCUUGAGAGAGAGAUGAGAAGGCACUCCAUGUCUGAGAACUUGGCAAUGUCAUCAGAGGUGAUGGAUGAUGAUUUCCAAAGGAAGCUGAACUACCUGGAAAAAAAAGGUGAUAUUUCUUUACUGGUAUUAGUUCAUCACCUUCUCAGAGUUUGUGCAUAGCACACUUCUUUCUACUGUUUGUUUGUCCCUUCAUAUGGAAAAUAGAGGUGAUAUUCCUUUACUGGUAUUAGUAAAUCAUCUUCUCAAGAGUUUGUGAGUCCCUUCAUUUUAACAUCUCAAACACACAUGCGCUCAUUGCUUGGGGCACACUGUUGGCCAGUCAUGUGAUUUGAUCCCCUUUUUUGGAAUGGAGAAUUCUGAAUCCAUCUGAUCUAGGCUUCGUGGUUUGCACUGAACUGGUUUUUGAUGAAUAAUUGCACAAGACUUUGUCAUCAAAACUUUCUUGUUUUUUGCCCCAAAAGUAAUGAGGUACAAAAAAAUUUAUGCCUAUCCUGGAUGAGUGCCAUAACAGCUUCUUAAUAUUUUGCAGUGGCAUUUGUACGGUUGUUUCCUUCAGAAGCUAGAGUAGCUAUGGAAAUAGCAGGUGCAGAUACCGCGACUGGCCUUUCAGCAUUAGGUCAGAAAGGACGCCAAUUGAGACUGCUAACUUUGCUUAAAACAGGUAUUUAUAUACUUUAUUAACUUUUGCACCUUUCUAUUUACUGAUUAUCUUUAUAAUUAACUAAUACAUGUAUCCAGGUUUCUCCUUCCAAUUGGAAUUUCUUUAUAGUGCUCUGUUAGGUGUAAUCAGAUGUAUCAAAAGAGAACGGGUAAUUGUUAGUACAUUGAUGUCUCAACAAAAUGGUAGAACCUUUCUUUAUACCACUAAGACAUUUGUUGCAGGUAUGCCUACAUAAUCAGUGUCCUUCAAAACUUUCAAAGAGUUAGCAAUGUCUAACCCCUGAAACACUAAAUCUCACGGGAUCAACUCUUUACCUCUAGACCGAAGGUGUGACACCCAGACCCAAUUAGGGCUUAGAACACGUAUCGAAUCUGAGUGAAACUAAACGCCUGUAAAUCCAAAUCUCCAAAAUAUCAAAAAGUCAUCUACUUUCUCUUUUCAUGUAUUUCACAAAAUUUUGAAAAAUUCAUUCUCAAUCAAAAACUAUGCACAGCUAAUUAUUCAGCAUAUCAGCAUAGAGCAAUACUUCCUCAUAAGCAAAUAAAUCUUACAAUCCUUCUUACAUGAUUUGAAAAAAAUACUAAUAGAAGUCUUCUAGAUACAAACAUAAACAGGAUUCAACUGUUUAAAACUAUGCCAAAACACAAGCUUCAAUCAGUAAUACAUACAACUAAUUAUUAAAGACAUCUAGCCAGAAACCUUACGAAAGCUCAAUCCUUCCGAAGCAUUCUUCAAAUUAAUAAUUGCUACCAUCUGUGAAAAAUAAUUGAUAAGGAGUCAGCUGUGAACUCAAUCAGUAGAAACAUUCGUAACGAACAAAAAGAAUUCUUUGUGCAAUAUUUUCAGAAAAUUCAUUUAACCUUUCAAAUAAAACAGAGUAAUUUUUCUAAGGCAGUCAGGAUUUAUAUAAAACAUAAACGUUUCAGACAGAAGCUUUUUGGAAUGUAAAUUUUGCUUCUUUAAACAGUAAGUUAUACAUUAGUUUGAUUUUAAAGGGAGGUUAUUGGGAAGUUAAAAUUGGCAGUUGUGGGAAAAGGGUAAUAGCAGUUAUAAAAUCUCUUUUAAAGCAAAUUCAAAUCAGGUUUCAAAUUUUAGGAGUACUUAAUUCAAUAAAAUAAGGAAUAAAUAAAGCUUUCAUUGAAACAAAACUAAGUAAAUUCAUUUAAAGCAAAAAAAGGAUGCGAGCAUUACGAUGGGUUCUUAUGUUUACCCGCAGUCAGACAUCUGGGACCUUGUUAUUUGGAGACAAGACUUGAUUGUGCCAUGUUUUCUGCAGCUAGACAUCUGUGGAUAAGAGAACCCUAAGCCUAUUGAGAAUAAAUUCCGUAAUCCAAGACUCUUCAGUUCUUUCAUUUGUGGCUAAUUAUUUAUAAAAUUUGCGAAUUUCAUGCCCCAUGCCCCUUGCAAAAUGUAUUUUAUAUCCUUAAGUUGCCAGUUGUUGAACUGAAAUAAUAAAAAGUGGAAAACAGACUUAAUGCCGAUAGCAUUUCUUAAGAAAAACUUGGGAUGUUUAUAAUUUUCUUAGAGCAUUUGCUGAACUUUAUGUGAUUGCAGUCGAGACGGGUGACCGCUACUUCCCUCAUUGCUCACAAGUGGUUGAUGACUUUUUGGGUGUUUAUGACUUUUUGGGUGUUAAUGACUUUUUGGAUGCGUCCCUCCUAGAAAAGAGUACUCUUGAAGAGCAGAAACUUAAAAUAGACAUGCAGAAGGCACUCUGCAUGGACGUGGCUUAUCACCGUCGUUUAGGGCUGCCAUCAUCCUGGCCGGCAUUUUACCAGUACAUGGCUGGGAGCAAUCAGUCGGCAUUUUACAAGUACGUGGCUGAGAGCAAUCGUUCAGGAAUGUCGACAUCCUCGGCAGCGAGCAAUUAAGCAUAACCUUUCCCUAAAAGCUAUAUUUGACUCCUGGAAAACUAAAGGAGUUGAGUGAGCUCGAUUGGUAUUUGUAGUUUCUUUU
Molecule: long non-coding RNA, 28406 nt
Filed under: Citrus x clementina
Lineage: Eukaryota; Viridiplantae; Streptophyta; Magnoliopsida; Sapindales; Rutaceae
Description: Citrus clementina (C. clementina) long non-coding RNA (CCLE_LNC003519)
Source: RNAcentral